GACGAACGCUGGCGGCGUGCUUAACACAUGCAAGUCGAACGGAAAGGCCCUGCUUUUGUGGGGUGCUCGAGUGGCGAACGGGUGAGUAACACGUGAGUAACCUGCCCUUGACCUUGGGAUAACUUCAGGAAACUGGGGCUAAUACCGGAUAGGAGCUCCUGCUGCAUGGUGGGGGUUGGAAAGUUUCGGCGGUUGGGGAUGGACUCGCGGCUUAUCAGCUUGUUGGUGGGGUAGUGGCUUACCAAGGCUUUGACGGGUAGCCGGCCUGAGAGGGUGACCGGCCACAUUGGGACUGAGAUACGGCCCAGACUCCUACGGGAGGCAGCAGUGGGGAAUAUUGCACAAUGGGCGGAAGCCUGAUGCAGCAACGCCGCGUGCGGGAUGACGGCCUUCGGGUUGUAAACCGCUUUCGCCUGUGACGAAGCGUGAGUGACGGUAAUGGGUAAAGAAGCACCGGCUAACUACGCG
Molecule: ribosomal RNA, 468 nt
Filed under: uncultured bacterium
Lineage: Bacteria
Description: partial 16S ribosomal RNA
Rfam family: Bacterial small subunit ribosomal RNA
Source: RNAcentral